CUGGUUUUCUUUCCUAAGAGUUAUUGUUUCUGGCAAUGACCACACUCCAGCAGGCUCAGGCCUGAGCUGAUGAAUGGGACAACCUGAUGACCACCACAAAGUUGCGUCUGCUCCCAUCCAGCUAAUCCGAGGGCUGUCAGACAGACUGUGACUAAUGGGGACAUCUGAGGGCAGAACGUUCGAAGGCCAAGGAGGAACAAGUCCAGACAAAGUGUGAGCACACACAUCUGGAGGGCUGGGGAGCCCAUGUCACAUUCCUGGCUGGACUUUGGACUCCAGGAGGAAGGCUUCAGGUUGGGCUUGCUCAGGCUGAGGCAGUUUGGGAGAGUGGGAGUGCAGGGGACUUGGGCAUCUGAAUGCCCGGGUUUGAAUUCCACAUCUGUUGCUUUUUGGCUCUGAGAGCUCUGGCAAGUUAUGUAGCCUCCCUGGGCCUUGGUUUCUGCUUCUUUAAAAUGGGGUUAACAAUGAAGAUUGGUGUAAGAAUCACAUAUAAAGGUGCUGUCAAGAAAUCUGGUUGAAGGCUGGGCGUGAUGGCUCAUGCCUGUAAUCUCAGCACCUUGGGAGGUUGAGGUGGGAGGAUCACUUGAGGCCAGGGCUUCAAGAAGAGCUUGGGCAAGACUGUAGCCAUAGCCAUAGCAAGAAUCUGUCUCUAUUUAAAAAAGAAGAAGAAGAAAAAAGGAAUGGAAAUAAAUUAAUUAAAUGGAA
This 705-nucleotide long non-coding RNA is filed under the name Pan troglodytes (chimpanzee). Its description in RNAcentral is "lincRNA". Lineage: Eukaryota; Metazoa; Chordata; Mammalia; Primates; Hominidae. The record is from RNAcentral.